This 73-nucleotide transfer RNA is filed under the name Fasciola hepatica (liver fluke). It matches the Rfam family "tRNA". From Rfam's summary of the family: Transfer RNA (tRNA) molecules are approximately 80 nucleotides in length. Lineage: Eukaryota; Metazoa; Platyhelminthes; Trematoda; Plagiorchiida; Fasciolidae. The record is from Rfam by way of RNAcentral.
ACCGUGAUAGCUCAGAUGAUAGAGCAUAUGACUGGUAAUUUGAAGAUUGUCCGUUCAAUUCGGGCUCAUGGCU